GAGCUUAAAUAUAGCUCUUUAUCAGGGAGGUCCAUCUGAAAGGUCUUCUCUAACCCUGUAUUUUUAUUAUUUUACUCUAAGUCCAACCAUGGCAAUUCAAAUGUCUUUGCAGAGCAUACUCUAAAUAUCAUAAUAGUGUAUGGAAUAUGUCAAGCAAAUGGAACUUUUCAACAGUUAAUCAAGAAAGCCCAUCAUCAUAAGCCUAAUCUGCACUGCUCUAACAAGAAACCUGAUCUUUCUUCUACUUUGAUGGAUCAGGAUACCUUCCUUAUGCUAAGCACAAAACUGACUUCCUCUGGGAAUGAACAAGUGUUAUGCUGUAAGGGAUACUUGCUUUACGACUCUUGAUUCCUCACUUGCAAAGUUGUCAUGAAUGAGUUUAUGAACUGCAAAAAUCAUAAAAACAAUUGAACAUUUCUUCAAAACAAAACAGAACAUGAAAAAUACUCUCUCUUCUAAUUUCAUAGGAUUUCAGUGUGAAUUUCAGCAAUUAUUUUAAUCCAAGACUUCAUCUCAACUUUUCGGGAUGUAGGUGGGUUUUUUUGUUUUGUGUUUUGGGGUUGGGUUUUUUUUUUGUUUGUGGAUUUUUUUGUUUUGUUUUGUGUCCCAGAUGCUGGACUUGGCAGCCAUGCCACUUAUAUAUAGGUAUCAUGAGCUCAAUACAUAAAAUGCAACAUGUAAUUCAAAGUGCUUACCAGAAAGCAUGGAAAGUCUUAGGAGCCCUAAACUAGAUAAAUAUAGCGCAUCUCGAAAAACCCCCAAAUAACCCAUACCAUAGUUUAACAAACAGUUGAUCAUUAGUGUCUAUGAGAUUCAGUUUCCAGGUGCUUAUGCUA
This is a non-coding RNA of Taeniopygia guttata (zebra finch), 836 nucleotides long. The record is from RefSeq and is a predicted model, not a curated record. Lineage: Eukaryota; Metazoa; Chordata; Aves; Passeriformes; Estrildidae.